CAUUCAGAUAAUUUAGUUGUUUCCUCUCUUCAUCCCAGUGCCUCCACGUCGAUACAAAAAUUAUGCGUCAAUCCUAAGCUAGUUAGGGUCGGAUAUAUGAAACUUGUUUGGACCUAUUCCGACAUCAACAUGCUCAAAAAUUUCAAGUAUUUUACAGCUAUUCUUGAUAUAGAUGUUUUUGAUAUUUGUAAAUAGUUUGUUAAUGAACUGCUAUUUUUACUACUAAUACUACUACUCCUAUUACUACUAAUACUACUACUACUACUACUACUAUAACUAUAAUUAUCAAUAUUAUUAUUAUUAGUAUUAUUAUUUAUUUGUUUAUUAUUAUUAUUAUUAUUUCUUAUAUGGUGGUGGCGGUAGCAAUCUAAAUAAACAAUUUUGCCACUUCCCUAUGCCCCUUCAAACGCAUGUGUUCUGCUUUUGGUUCUAUGGUUUGAAUGAAUGAAGGAGAUGGCACUUCAUCAUUUUCACUAUCUUCUAGAGUUCAUGAUAACUGUUGUUUCCCUUUUGAAGUCAAAUAGAAAUAAACAAUUUUUUCACUUCCCUAUACCCCUUCAAAUGCACGUGUUCUGCUUUUGGUUCUAUGGUUUGGAUGAAUGAAGGAGAUGGCACUUCAUCAUUCUCACUAUCUUCUAGAGUUCAUGGUAACUGUUGUUUCCCUUUUGAAGUCAAAUGUUGCACUUGAAAAGGGGUGUGCAUAUCGAGAAGCUUUGGUUUGUUGAUAAACUUUUAAAUGUGUGUCAUCAAUGGAAGUACAUAUAUUAUUUGGGAGAAAUGGAUGGAAAAGCAACGGGCAAUGUGAAGGUUGUGAAAAUAUUUUGUGGUGUCUUGGUAAGACUGUAGUUUUUUCUUAUCCAUCUGUGGGUUUCAGUUCCUGGUGCUAUUAGGUGGCUUCCCAUGGAAUCUGGUACAUCUUUUUUCAGAAUGGGAAGAGUCCCAUAGAAAUCUCAACAUUUUAUUUGUCAUGCAUCCUACUUAUAAAUCAUAGUAAGUGGAUUCUGAUGGAAAAUCAAGGAGCAGCCUGAACUUGAAGUAAAGCUCCGGUGUCGUGGGUUGAACUUCAAACAUUUUCUCUUAUUGUUCUUUCUUGGGGUGGCACACUGUAUCAGUAGUUGUCAUUUCACUGAGAGUUUUUAAAAUCUGCUUGCAUGUUCUUUGACAGAAAGCUAUGACUAAAUAGGGCACUCUACCCUCUAUACAAUUUGUUUGUUGUCCUUAUGAUGUUUUUGUCAUUGUCAAUACUUAAAUAGAGAGGGCAUAUGUUAUAAUUGUAACUUCAUUGGGGGAAUGCUUGCUUUUAUU
Molecule: long non-coding RNA, 1305 nt
Organism: Lycium ferocissimum
Lineage: Eukaryota; Viridiplantae; Streptophyta; Magnoliopsida; Solanales; Solanaceae
Exons: 2
Source: RefSeq, a predicted model, not a curated record